AUUGAACGCUGGCGGCAUGCCUUACACAUGCAAGUCGAACGGCAGCACGGGAGCAAUCCUGGUGGCGAGUGGCGAACGGGUGAGUAAUAUAUCGGAACGUGCCCAGUCGUGGGGGAUAACGUAGCGAAAGCUACGCUAAUACCGCAUACGAUCUAUGGAUGAAAGCGGGGGAUCGCAAGACCUCGCGCGAUUGGAGCGGCCGAUAUCAGAUUAGGUAGUUGGUGAGGUAAAGGCUCACCAAGCCGACGAUCUGUAGCUGGUCUGAGAGGACGACCAGCCACACUGGGACUGAGACACGGCCCAGACUCCUACGGGAGGCAGCAGUGGGGAAUUUUGGACAAUGGGCGAAAGCCUGAUCCAGCCAUUCCGCGUGCAGGAUGAAGGCCCUCGGGUUGUAAACUGCUUUUGUACAGAACGAAAAGGUUUCUACUAAUACUAGGAGCUCAUGACGGUACUGUAAGAAUAAGCACCAGCUAACUACGUGCCAGCCGCCGCGGUAA
RNAcentral lists this ribosomal RNA (500 nucleotides) under uncultured bacterium. RNAcentral's name for it is "partial 16S ribosomal RNA". It matches the Rfam family "Bacterial small subunit ribosomal RNA", at positions 30 to 523 of the family's 1533-position model. The record is from RNAcentral.